Molecule: ribosomal RNA, 753 nt
Filed under: uncultured Bacilli bacterium
Lineage: Bacteria; Bacillati; Bacillota; Bacilli
Description: bacterial SSU rRNA
Rfam family: Bacterial small subunit ribosomal RNA
Source: RNAcentral
CGGCGGUGUGCCUAAUACAUGCAAGUCGAACGCGUUGGCCCAACUGAUUGGACGUGCUUGCACGGACUUGACGUUGGUUUACCAGCGAGUGGCGGACGGGUGAGUAACGCGUAGGUAACCUGCCCCAAAGCGGGGGAUAACAUUUGGAAACAGAUGCUAAUACCGCAUAACAAUUUGAAUCGCAUGAUCCAAAUUUAAAAGAUGGUUUCGGCUAUCACUUUGGGAUGGACCUGCGGCGCAUUAGCUUGUUGGUAGGGUAACGGCCUACCAAGGCUGUGAUGCGUAGCCGAGUUGAGAGACUGAUCGGCCACAAUGGAACUGAGACACGGUCCAUACUCCUACGGGAGGCAGCAGUAGGGAAUCUUCCACAAUGGGCGCAAGCCUGAUGGAGCAACACCGCGUGAGUGAAGAAGGGUUUCGGCUCGUAAAGCUCUGUUGUUAGAGAAGAACGUGCGUGAGAGCAACUGUUCACGCAGUGACGGUAUCUAACCAGAAAGUCACGGCUAACUACGUGCCAGCAGCCGCGGUAAUACGUAGGUGGCAAGCGUUAUCCGGAUUUAUUGGGCGUAAAGCGAGCGCAGGCGGUUUGAUAAGUCUGAUGUGAAAGCCUUUGGCUUAACCAAAGAAGUGCAUCGGAAACUGUCAGACUUGAGUGCAGAAGAGGACAGUGGAACUCCAUGUGUAGCGGUGGAAUGCGUAGAUAUAUGGAAGAACACCAGUGGCGAAGGCGGCUGUCUGGUCUGCAACUGACGC